Molecule: ribosomal RNA, 1353 nt
Filed under: uncultured bacterium
Lineage: Bacteria
Description: 16S ribosomal RNA
Rfam family: Bacterial small subunit ribosomal RNA
Source: RNAcentral
CUGGCGGCGUGCCUAACACAUGCAAGUCGAGCGAAGCACUUUGCUUAGAUCCUUCGGAUGAAGAGGAUUGUGACUGAGCGGCGGACGGGUGAGUAACGCGUGGGUAACCUGCCUCAUACGGGGGGAUAACAGUUAGAAAUGACUGCUAAUACCGCAUAAGACCACAGCACCGCAUGGUGCGGGGGUAAAAACUCCGGUGGUAUGAGAUGGACCCGCGUCUGAUUAGCUAGUUGGUAAGGUAACGGCUUACCAAGGCGACGAUCAGUAGCCGACCUGAGAGGGUGACCGGCCACAUUGGGACUGAGACACGGCCCAAACUCCUACGGGAGGCAGCAGUGGGGAAUAUUGCACAAUGGGGGAAACCCUGAUGCAGCGACGCCGCGUGAGCGAAGAAGUAUUUCGGUAUGUAAAGCUCUAUCAGUAGGGAAGAAAAUGACGGUACCUGACUAAGAAGCACCGGCUAAAUACGUGCCAGCAGCCGCGGUAAUACGUAUGGUGCAAGCGUUAUCCGGAUUUACUGGGUGUAAAGGGAGCGUAGACGGAUGGGCAAGUCUGAUGUGAAAACCCGGGGCUCAAUCCCGGGACUGCAUUGGAAACUGUUCAUCUAGAGUGCUGGAGAGGUAAGUGGAAUUCCUAGUGUAGCGGUGAAAUGCGUAGAUAUUAGGAGGAACACCAGUGGCGAAGGCGGCUUACUGGACAGUAACUGACGUUGAGGCUCGAAAGCGUGGGGAGCAAACAGGAUUAGAUACCCUGGUAGUCCACGCCGUAAACGAUGACUUUUAGGGGUUCGGGUGGCAAAGCCAUCGGUGCCCGCACCAAACCCAAUAAAUAUUCCACUUGGGGGAGGUUCGUUUCGCAAGAAUGAAACUCAAAGGAAUUGACGGGGCCCCGCACAACCGGUGGAGCAUGUGGUUUAGUUUGAAGCAACGCGAAGAACCUUUCCUGCUCUUGACAUCCCGCUGACCGGACGGUAAUGCGUCCUUCCCUUCGGGGCAGCGGAGACAGGUGGUGCAUGGUUGUCGUCAGCUCGUGUCGUGAGAUGUUGGGUUAAGUCCCGCAACGAGCGCAACCCCUAUCUUUAGUAGCCAGCGGCCAGGCCGGGCACUCUAGAGAGACUGCCGGGGAUAACCCGGAGGAAGGUGGGGAUGACGUCAAAUCAUCAUGCCCCUUAUGAGCAGGGCUACACACGUGCUACAAUGGCGUAAACAAAGGGAAGCGAGACCGCGAGGUGGAGCAAAUCCCAAAAAUAACGUCUCAGUUCGGAUUGUAGUCUGCAACUCGACUACAUGAAGCUGGCCUCGCUAGUAAUCGCGAAUCAGAAUGUCGCGGUGAAUACGUUCCCGGGUCUUGCAC